RNAcentral lists this long non-coding RNA (1158 nucleotides) under Heterocephalus glaber (naked mole-rat). RNAcentral's name for it is "lncRNA (ENSHGLG00000044274.1)". Lineage: Eukaryota; Metazoa; Chordata; Mammalia; Rodentia; Bathyergidae. The record is from RNAcentral.
UCUCGAAUGACCACUGAUGUUGAACACUUUUUCAUAUGUUUAUUUGAUAUUUCUAUUUCUUUGUGUGAGAAAUAUCUGUUCAUUUCAGAUGCCCAUUUUUGGAUUGGGUCUUUAAAUUUGGGAGGUCUGAUUUUUUUAAGUUCUUUAUAGAUUCGAGAUAGUAGACCUUUUGUCUGAGGAACAGCUGGUGAAAAUUUUUUCCCACAUUGUGUGUUGUCUCAUCACACUGUUGGUGGUUUCUCUUGCUGUGCAGAAGCUUUAUUCUUAUUUUGUGGGAUGGAACACUCUGUAAAUAUCUGUUAAGUUCAUUUGUUCAACAGUUUGAGUUCUAGUAUUUCAUUUCUUUUUUUUUUGUCUAGUUGAUCUAUUUGUGACAGUGGGGUAUUGAGAUCCCCCACUACUAUUGUAUUAGUGCUUAUUUGUUUUUUUUAUGUCUGUUAAUAUUUGUUUUAUAUAGUUGGCUGCACUAGUGUUUGGUCCAUACAUCUUUAUGAUUGUCAUUUCUUCUUCUUGGAUUGUUCCCUUCACAAGAAUGUAGUGGCCUUCUUUGUCUCUCUUGGUUUGAAAUCCACUUGAUCUGCAAAGAGGAUUCCUGUUUUUUUUUCAGGUUCCUGUCGCAUGAAGUAUUAUUUUCCACCCUUUCACUUUCAGUCUAUGAGUUUCUUUUUAAUUAAGUGUGUUUCUUAUAUGCAGCAUAUUGUUGGAUCUUGCUUCUUGACCCAUUCUGCCAGUCUAUUUCUUUUGAAUGGUGAAUUGAGACCAUUAACAUUGAUGGUUAUAACUGAUACAUAUUGACUUAUCCUUGCCAUGACUUUUUCUUUUUGUCGGAUUCUCCCCCUUUGCUUUUGAUUUUUUGUCACACCCAACAGAUUCAUUCUGCUGUGUUUCCUGGGUUUGUGAUCCUCAUUGUCUUUUCCUAGGAUAUUGUCUAAAAUUUUUUGGAGUGCUGGUUUGGUAUUCAUCAAGUUCCUAAGGUGCUCUUUGUCAUGAAAGUAUCUUAUUUCUCCAUCAAUUUUGAAAGAUAGUUUUGCAGGGUACAUGAAUCUGGGUUGGAGGCUGUUUUCUUUUAGGGCUUGGAAUAUGUCACUCCAAGCUCUUCUUGCCUUGAUGGUUUGUGUUGAGAAGUCUGCUGUGAUUCUGAUGGGCUUUCCUUUGUAU